ACUACUAAAAAAAUAAUAUUUUUUGAAAAUGUCUCUUAAUUAUGUUUACUUGAUCUGUUUUAAGACAAAAAAACACCCCAAACAUUUUUUUACCAACUGGGAACAUAAUGCGUACCAUAGAGGGUUAAUGCACACUCAGCACCCCAUCUUGACAGAAAAAAACAGAAAUGCAGAAAUUUUUGCAAAUGUAUUAAAAAAGAAAAACUGAAAUGUCUACUCAAUACAUGCUCAGUAUUGAGUAGAAGCACCCUUUUCAGCUAGUACAGCCACGAGCCUUCUUGGGAAUGACAACAAGUUUUUUACACCUGGAUUUGGGGAUCCUCUCCAGUUCUGUCAGGUUGGAUGGUGAACGUUGCAUACAGCCAUUUUGAGGUCUCUCCAGAUGUAGAAAAGGCCCCAAAGUUGCUAGUUUAUAUCACUGUUCCUGCUGUACCUUGUUAUCUGUUCUCAGUAGUGUUCAUUGCAUUCCUAACCUUGUGGAUGGGCCUGUUCACGUGGUAGUUGUCUGGUGAGUCACGUCACACAGCGUGAGAGCGAGUGGGUGUGUGCGCUGGUCUGCUGGUUUGCGUCACUCUCGCAGGACCUUUGCUGCAGAUGGGACGUGUGUGCGUAGAUGACGGAAAACCACACACUAACCCCAGACUUGGUCUGUCUCUGUUUGAUGCUGCACAAGGAGUAAAGUACAGAAAAGUAUCAACAUCCGCCUCCUAGCCUUUGUUCACCUUAUACUCUGAGCGGCCUUAAGCGGUGCUCUGGCCGGCACUCCUGGUGUGACCCUGGUUAUCCAACCCUGAGUCAGCACCCUAUCAGACGAAUAGUGAUCCUCUACUACACCAGAGAUGCUCAAUUGGGUUUAGGUCAGGGCUCUGGCUGGGCCAGUCAAGAACGGGCCACUAUGCCAGAAAGCCCCGACUGGUGGAGGGCUGCAGUGAUAGUUGACUUUGUGGAACUUUCUCCUAUCUCCCGACUGCAUCUCUGGAGCUCAGCCACAGUGAUCUUUGGGUUCUUCUUUACCUCUCUCACCAAGGCUCUUCUCCCACGAUUGCUCAGUUUGACUGGAUGGCCAGAUCUAGGAAGAGUUGUGGUCGUCCCAAACUUCUUCCAUUUGAGGAUUAUGAAGGCCACUGUGCUCUUAGGAACCUUGAGUGCUGCAGAAAUUCUUUUGUAACCUUGGCCAGAUCUGUGCCUUGCCGCAAUUCUGUCUCUGAGCUCCUUGGGCAGUUCCUUCGACCUCAUGAUUCUCAUUUGCUCUGACAUGCACUGUGAGCUGUAAGGUCUUAUAUAGACAGGUGUGUGCCUUUCCUAAUCAAGUCCAAUCAGUUUAAUUAAACACAGCUGGACUCCAGUAAAGAAGCAGAACCAUCUCGAGGAGGAUCAGAAGAAAUGGACAGCAUGUGAGUUAAAUAUGAAUGUCGCUGCAAAGGGUCUGAAUACUUGUGACCAUGUGAUAUUUCAGUUUUUCUUUUUUAAUAAAUUUGCAAAAAUUUCUACAUUUCUGUUUUUUUCUGUCAAGGUGGGGUGCUGAGUGUACAUUAAAGAGAAAUAAAAUGAACUUUUUUGAUUUUGGUACAUGGCUGCAAUGACACAGAGUGAAAAAUUUCAAGGGGUCUGAAUACUUGCCGUACCCACUGUAUGAUUUUUCCUCUGAUAAAGGAGGGAUUGUUAAGGAAUACUGCGACUGUAUUGUUAACACUGCAAAAUUUUAAACCUGUGUAAAGGAAAUGUAUUGUUAUUUUUAUUCAAAUACAUUAAAUAAUAAUUCCUCACUACGUUCUGAACUAUAGCAAUAGAGAGUUAUAUUGUUUUUCAUCGUCUUUGUGUUCAGGAUCUUUGGGUGGGCCAGAAAUCACAGCUUGAUGAUGCACUGGAGCCAAACUUUGCAUACUUAUCCCCUCCCCAACACUAUAAUGUUAUAAAAACAAGAGAAUGGUUCUGUCGCUCUGUUGCUACACCUACUACACUCUACAGUUUGCUAGCAAGCUAUGCAAAUGUGUCAUCCCUGGAUGCCAGAAUCUGAACAGCUUGUUUUCCUUCUUUACAUUUCCUAAGAGUGAUGAGGAUGAAAAAGAGGGGGAUUAACAUCCGCCUCUGCAGUGAUUAUUUUGCACCGGGUAGUUUACAAACUUUCUUGAGGGACUACUGAGACUCCCUGAAAAUCUGCUGCUGGCCUUCAUCCUCUCAUCAGACUGACAUCUGGUGCUUUUGUAGGCAGCAAAUGCCCACCAAUGAGUUAAAGAUGCCUCGUGUACUUGGUUUAUUAUAGUACGUAACUUCGUCCACAGCUGCAUGGUGGUGGAAAUAUUGCAGAAAUGUAAAAAAUGUAAAUCAACACUUUUGUCUGACAUACCAACAAUGUUCCAGAGCAAAGAAUACUGCUUAUGAUUUUAUGACUUUGAAACCUAAUUAUAUGUACUUAGUGGCUUUUAAAUGAUUCAGAUUUGGCUGGGUGGCUAAUAUCAGUUUUCUGUGGUGUCGUAAAUUCAGAACUUAUUGCUGUUUUACAUGGAAUCUAAGGCAUUUAAGGUUUGUUUUUUAAACUGUCAACCAAACUGCUGAUCACGGUUGCUGAAGAAGAAGAAAUACAGAGCUUACACACUGUAACUUCACUGGACUAUUGAUUAAUAUUUAGCUGCUCUGUGCACAAUUGAUGCAAAUAAAAUAAAAUGUGUGCUGAAACUCGAAAGCACACAUUAACUCCUAA
This is a long non-coding RNA of Acanthochromis polyacanthus (spiny chromis), 2701 nucleotides long. RefSeq lists it as uncharacterized. The record is from RefSeq and is a predicted model, not a curated record. The transcript has 2 exons. Lineage: Eukaryota; Metazoa; Chordata; Actinopteri; Pomacentridae.